GAUGAACGCUGGCGGCGUGCCUAAUACAUGCAAGUCGAGCGAACGGACGAGAAGCUUGCUUCUCUGACGUUAGCGGCGGACGGGUGAGUAACACGUGGAUAACCUACCUAUAAGACUGGGAUAACUUCGGGAAACCGGAGCUAAUACCGGAUAAUAUUUUGAACCGCAUGGUUCAAUAGUGAAAGACGGUUUUGCUGUCACUUAUAGGUGGAUCCGCGCUGCAUUAGCUAGUUGGUAAGGUAACGGCUUACCAAGGCAACGAUGCAUAGCCGACCUGAGAGGGUGAUCGGCCACACUGGAACUGAGACACGGUCCAGACUCCUACGGGAGGCAGCAGUAGGGAAUCUUCCGCAAUGGGCGAAAGCCUGACGGAGCAACGCCGCGUGAGUGAUGAAGGUCUUCGGAUCGUAAAACUCUGUUAUUAGGGAAGAACAUAUGUGUAAGUAACUGUGCACAUCUUGACGGUACCUAAUCAGAAAGCCACGGCUAACUACGUG
This 497-nucleotide ribosomal RNA is filed under the name uncultured bacterium. RNAcentral's name for it is "partial 16S ribosomal RNA". It matches the Rfam family "Bacterial small subunit ribosomal RNA", at positions 28 to 507 of the family's 1533-position model. The record is from RNAcentral.